UACGAGGGGAGCAAGCGUUGUUCGGAUUUACUGGGCGUAAAGGGCGUGCAGGCGGUCUGUUAAGUUCAGGGUGAAAGCUCCCGGCUCAACUGGGAGAGGUCCUUGGAUACUGGCAGACUUGAGGGAGGUAGAGGAGAGUGGAAUUCCCGGUGUAGUGGUGAUAUGCGUAGAUAUCGGGAGGAACACCAGUGGCGAAGGCGGCUCUCUGGGCCUUUCCUGACGCUGAGACGCGAAAGCGUGGGGAGCGAACCGG
RNAcentral lists this ribosomal RNA (253 nucleotides) under uncultured bacterium. RNAcentral's name for it is "partial 16S ribosomal RNA". It matches the Rfam family "Bacterial small subunit ribosomal RNA", at positions 524 to 776 of the family's 1533-position model. The record is from RNAcentral.